RNAcentral lists this ribosomal RNA (811 nucleotides) under uncultured Bacillota bacterium. Its description in RNAcentral is "bacterial SSU rRNA". It matches the Rfam family "Bacterial small subunit ribosomal RNA", at positions 71 to 914 of the family's 1533-position model. The record is from RNAcentral. Lineage: Bacteria; Bacillati; Bacillota.
AAAGUGGAGCAAUCCAUGAGUACAGUGGCGUACGGGUGAGUAACACGUGGAUCAUCUACCUCUUUGUGGGGAAUAACCCUGGGAAACCGGGGAUAAUACCGCAUAAGCCUGAGAAGGGAAAGCAGCAAUGCGCUGAGAGAGGAGUCCGCGGCCGAUUAGCUAGUUGGCAGGGUAAAAGCCUACCAAGGCAGAGAUCGGUAGCCGGCCUGAGAGGGCACACGGCCACACUGGCACUGAAACACGGGCCAGACUCCUACGGGAGGCAGCAGUGGGGAAUCUUGCACAAUGGGGGAAACCCUGAUGCAGCGACGCCGCGUGAGCGAUGAAGCCCUUCGGGGUGUAAAGCUCUUUCGGCAGGGAAGAUUAUGACGGUACCUGCAGAAGCAGCUGCGGCUAACUACGUGCCAGCAGCCGCGGUAAUACGUAGGCAGCAAGCGUUGUUCGGAGUUACUGGGCGUAAAGGGGGUGUAGGCGGUUGUUUAAAUUUGGUGUGAAAUCUCCCGGCUCAACUGGGAGGGUGCGCCGAAUACUGAAUGACUUCGAGUGCGGGAGAGGAUAGUGGAAUUCCUGGUGUAGCGGUGAAAUGCGUAGAUAUCAGGAGGAACACCGGUGGUGUAGACGGCUAUCUGGACCGUAACUGACGCUGAGACACGAAAGCGUGGGUAGCAAACAGGAUUAGAUACCCUGGUAGUCCACGCCCUAAACGAUGCAUAUUUGGUGUGGGUCAUUCAGUUGAUCCGUGCCGGAGCUAACGCGUUAAAUAUGCCGCCUGGGGAGUACAGUCGCAAGGCUGAAACUCAAAGGAAUUGAC